CGGGUGGAGUUUCUUGUUGUUCCCACGGCCAUCCUGGCGUUCCUGGUCAACCAUGAUUUUACCCCUCUAGAGAUCCUCUGGACCUUCUCCAUCUACCUGGAGUCGGUAGCCAUCCUGCCCCAGCUGUUCAUGGUGAGCAAGACGGGAGAGGCCGAGACGAUCACCAGCCACUACUUGUUCGCGCUGGGCGUCUACCGCACGCUCUAUCUCUUCAACUGGAUCUGGCGCUACCACUUCGAGGGCUUCUUUGACCUCAUCGCCAUUGUGGCGGGCCUAGUCCAGACUGUCCUCUACUGCGAUUUCUUCUACCUCUACAUCACCAGAGUCCUGAAGGGGAAGAAGCUGAGUUUGCCGGCAUAGCCCUGGGCCCGGCCAUCCCUCUCCUCGGCGGCCCGCGAGAGGUGGAGGAAGGCAGCAAACAACGAAGAGCCUUCCCGUCCAGGGGUGACUUUUUAAAGAACCAACCUCUCCGCACUCCCUGGCCCCCCUCCUGCCGGGUUUCAGGGGGCGGUGGAGGACCCAAGUCUUGGGGAGCUCAGGACCUGGGGUGUUUGUAGUUUUUUGCCUUUUAGAGAAGAAAAAAAAAUCUUUCCACUAUUUAGUUUUUGAUUCUGAUGACUCCUUUCUCUUCUACUCCCUGGCCCCUGAUUUUUAUAAACUGUUUUUGAGUGUCCUGUGGGGUGGGGCAGGGUCGGAGAUCUUUUCCCUCCCCCAAAGCCCCUCGACUCCCUUGCAGACCCUAACCCCCAGCCCUGCCCGUUGCCAAACACUAAACCUGCACACACCCACCUGUCUGACCUCCCAUCGUGGCCAAGAACGCAGCCUCCCCACCAAACCCCUCAAAGUUCAGGAUUGGGGAGAGGGAGGAGGGGAGGGACGGUCUCCCUGACUUUUCAAUAUAAUUUUUUUCCAGAGUUUGGGGUUUUUUGGUCUUGUCCUCAUUUUUUGACAAUUUAGCGGGGGACGAGGGGGCCAGACGUGGCAAAGGGGGUUGGCCUGAGGGUCACUGUGGCUCAACAGCCACAUUUUUGUACAGAAUUGAUGGUUGAUUCUUUGUUCUCUUGAAAUAAACCGAGGAAAAUGAAAAAAA
Molecule: non-coding RNA, 1090 nt
Organism: Callorhinus ursinus (northern fur seal)
Lineage: Eukaryota; Metazoa; Chordata; Mammalia; Carnivora; Otariidae
Source: RefSeq, a predicted model, not a curated record